This 934-nucleotide ribosomal RNA is filed under the name uncultured bacterium. RNAcentral's name for it is "bacterial SSU rRNA". It matches the Rfam family "Bacterial small subunit ribosomal RNA", at positions 51 to 978 of the family's 1533-position model. The record is from RNAcentral.
ACACAUGCAAGUCGAGGGGCAUCAGGGCAUUAGCUUGCUAAUGCCGCUGGCGACCGGCGCACGGGUGAGUAACACGUAUCCAACCUGCCUUCAACUCAGGGAUAGCCUUUCGAAAGAAAGAUUAAUACCUGAUAGUAUGUAUUUUCCGCAUGGUUUUUACAUUAGAGGUUUCCGGUUGAAGAUGGGGAUGCGUUCCAUUAGAUAGUUGGCGGGGUAACGGCCCACCAAGUCCACGAUGGAUAGGGGUUCUGAGAGGAAGGUCCCCCACAUUGGAACUGAGACACGGUCCAAACUCCUACGGGAGGCAGCAGUGAGGAAUAUUGGUCAAUGGGCGCCAGCCUGAACCAGCCAAGUAGCGUGAAGGAUGACUGCCCUAUGGGUUGUAAACUUCUUUUAUACGGGAAUAAAGUUUGGCACGUGUGCCUUUUUGCAUGUACCGUAUGAAUAAGGAUCGGCUAACUCCGUGCCAGCAGCCGCGGUAAUACGGAGGAUCCGAGCGUUAUCCGGAUUUAUUGGGUUUAAAGGGAGCGUAGGCGGAUGCUUAAGUCAGUUGUGAAAGUUUGCGGCUCAACCGUAAAAUUGCAGUUGAUACUGGGUGUCUUGAGUGCAGUAUAGGCAGGCGGAAUUCGUGGUGUAGCGGUGAAAUGCUUAGAUAUCACGAAGAACUCCGAUUGCGAAGGCAGCUCACUGGAGCGCAACUGACGCUGAAGCUCGAAAGUGCGGGUAUCGAACAGGAUUAGAUACCCUGGUAGUCCGCACGGUAAACGAUGGAUGCCCGCUGUUGGUCUGAAUAGGUCAGCGGCCAAGCGAAAGCAUUAAGCAUCCCACCUGGGGAGUACGCCGGCAACGGUGAAACUCAAAGGAAUUGACGGGGGCCCGCACAAGCGGAGGAACAUGUGGUUUAAUUCGAUGAUACGCGAGGAACCUUACCCGG